GAUGAACGCUGGCGGCGUGCUUAACACAUGCAAGUCGAGCGAGUGAGUUCUUCGGAACGAUCUAGCGGCGGACGGGUGAGUAACACGUGGGCAACCUGCCUCAUAGAGGGGAAUAGCCUCCCGAAAGGGAGAUUAAUACCGCAUAAAAUUAUCGAGUGGCAUCACACGAUGAUCAAAGGAGUAAUCCGCUAUGAGAUGGGCCCGCGGCGCAUUAGCUAGUUGGUGAGGUAACGGCUCACCAAGGCGACGAUGCGUAGCCGACCUGAGAGGGUGAUCGGCCACAUUGGGACUGAGACACGGCCCAGACUCCUACGGGAGGCAGCAGUGGGGAAUAUUGCACAAUGGGGGAAACCCUGAUGCAGCAACGCCGCGUGAGUGAUGAAGGUCUUCGGAUUGUAAAGCUCUGUCUUUGGGGACGAUAAUGACGGUACCCAAGGAGGAAGCCACGGCUAACUACGUGCCAGCCGCCGCCGUAA
Molecule: ribosomal RNA, 476 nt
Filed under: uncultured bacterium
Lineage: Bacteria
Description: partial 16S ribosomal RNA
Rfam family: Bacterial small subunit ribosomal RNA
Source: RNAcentral